RNA transcript from Mus musculus (house mouse), 2717 nucleotides. It is a transcript of the gene named patatin-like phospholipase domain containing 2, with no coding region annotated. Lineage: Eukaryota; Metazoa; Chordata; Mammalia; Rodentia; Muridae. The transcript has 10 exons. The record is from RefSeq and is marked validated.
UCCUCCUCUGCCUCCCGGCACAGCGUCUCCGCCUCCGCCGGCGGAGACCCCAAGGUAUCGAGACUGCGGGACCCACUGCCCGCAGGACAUCGAGUCACGAUGUUCCCGAGGGAGACCAAGUGGAACAUCUCAUUCGCUGGCUGCGGCUUCCUCGGGGUCUACCACAUUGGCGUGGCCUCCUGCCUCCGUGAGCACGCGCCCUUCCUGGUGGCCAACGCCACUCACAUCUACGGAGCCUCGGCAGGGGCGCUCACCGCCACAGCGCUGGUCACUGGGGCCUGCCUGGGUGAUCUUGAGCAGCUAGAACAAUGACAGGUUGCCUACUGUCUGCUGUAAACCCCUGGUCUUUAUGUCCCAUGCCUGCCAAGGUGAAGCAGGUGCCAACAUUAUUGAGGUGUCCAAGGAGGCCCGGAAGCGGUUCCUGGGUCCUCUGCAUCCCUCCUUCAACCUGGUGAAGACCAUCCGUGGCUGUCUACUAAAGACCCUGCCUGCUGAUUGCCAUGAGCGCGCCAAUGGACGCCUGGGCAUCUCCCUGACUCGUGUUUCAGACGGAGAGAACGUCAUCAUAUCCCACUUUAGCUCCAAGGAUGAGCUCAUCCAGGCCAAUGUCUGCAGCACAUUUAUCCCGGUGUACUGUGGCCUCAUUCCUCCUACCCUCCAAGGGGUGCGCUAUGUGGAUGGCGGCAUUUCAGACAACUUGCCACUUUAUGAGCUGAAGAAUACCAUCACAGUGUCCCCAUUCUCAGGCGAGAGUGACAUCUGCCCUCAGGACAGCUCCACCAACAUCCACGAGCUUCGCGUCACCAACACCAGCAUCCAGUUCAACCUUCGCAAUCUCUACCGCCUCUCGAAGGCUCUCUUCCCGCCAGAGCCCAUGGUCCUCCGAGAGAUGUGCAAACAGGGCUACAGAGAUGGACUUCGAUUCCUUAGGAGGAAUGGCCUACUGAACCAACCCAACCCUUUGCUGGCACUGCCCCCAGUUGUCCCCCAGGAAGAGGAUGCAGAGGAAGCUGCUGUGGUGGAGGAGAGGGCUGGAGAGGAGGAUCAAUUGCAGCCUUAUAGAAAAGAUCGAAUUCUAGAGCACCUGCCUGCCAGACUCAAUGAGGCCCUGCUGGAGGCCUGUGUGGAACCAAAGGACCUGAUGACCACCCUUUCCAACAUGCUACCAGUGCGCCUGGCAACGGCCAUGAUGGUGCCCUAUACUCUGCCGCUGGAGAGUGCAGUGUCCUUCACCAUCCGCUUGUUGGAGUGGCUGCCUGAUGUCCCUGAAGAUAUCCGGUGGAUGAAAGAGCAGACGGGUAGCAUCUGCCAGUAUCUGGUGAUGAGGGCCAAGAGGAAAUUGGGUGACCAUCUGCCUUCCAGACUGUCUGAGCAGGUGGAACUGCGACGUGCCCAGUCUCUGCCCUCUGUGCCACUGUCUUGCGCCACCUACAGUGAGGCCCUACCCAACUGGGUACGAAACAACCUCUCACUGGGGGACGCGCUGGCCAAGUGGGAAGAAUGCCAGCGUCAGCUACUGCUGGGUCUCUUCUGCACCAAUGUGGCCUUCCCGCCGGAUGCCUUGCGCAUGCGCGCACCUGCCAGCCCCACUGCCGCAGAUCCUGCCACCCCACAGGAUCCACCUGGCCUCCCGCCUUGCUGAGAAUCACCAUUCCCACAUCGCCCGGCUACCAGCCAAGCUCCAAGUUGUCCUGCCCCACUAAGAGGAGCCCCGGGGUGGAACAAGAUCCUGUCUGCCCCGGCUCUCCCCCUUACAUGCUGUGGAAUGAGGACAUAGGACCCUGCACAGCUGCAAGUGGGCUUUCGAUGUGAAACCUUUCACCAGCCACUCACUAUGCUACUCCUGGUGGGGAGGGAUGGGGAGUCGCCCUCCCCCGGAGCCCACAGAGCCCUCCCCCGUCACGUCACCUGUGCCUUACUCCUGCCCACCACCUUUUCAGUGCAGGGUCAGUCUUAAGAACUCCACAUCUGCUGCUGCUCCCUGGUGUCCAAGUUUCCUUGCAGAGUGUGUGAAGAAUUAUUUAUUUUUGCCAAAGCAGAUCUAAUAAAAGCCACAGCUCAGCUUCUGCCUUCCUCACUUCUGCAUGUUACCCUUGCCUCCGACUGUGGUCAGCAGACAGAGCUUUCUCCCAGUGAACUGGUGUCUCAGUAGCUAACAGUUGGGCUUCACGGGGUUCUCUGAGUCCUGGCAGCUGGGGACCGUCUCCUAAGGUCAGUCCUCUGGCAAGGACACAUGUAAGCUGCUCUGUUCUCUCUGAGGCUUGCUGCCUGUCUCUUGGGCCAGCAGAUAUGUUUGGGAGUUUGAGCCCCUUAGUAUCGAUAAAAAAACUAAAGUGGUGGGUUAGAGUUGCUCAGCCGUUGAACAGCUGUCUAAUAUGCACCAGGUCCGGAUUCCAUCUCAAGCACUAGGGGGAAAAUGUUUACAAAAGGUGUCACCCACACAUCCGCUCCUCAUGUGACACAGCGAGUGAGGGCGUGGAUCCCUGUGAAGGGCGAAGCUUCUGGAACUGCGGUCUGGGGACCCGGGAAGAUUGGUUCCUGACCCAUACUGGGGCAUCUUGCCCAGAACUUUGUGCUUGGCUCCUCUUUCUUGGUUGUCACAUGCUCCACUGCCAGGUGCAUAUGCCCUUUCCUGUACUGUAACCAUACCUGCUUCCCGCCAGAACCUUGGGAGAGAUCAGAAGUACUGAGGCAAAGUAGAGUUCACCAUGGUUUCC